CCCGAGAAGCCGGGACUACAAGCACCUGCCACCACACCCGGUCCAAUCAGCAUAAUGUCAUCAAUGCAAUGGAACGGACUGAUUUUCUGCAGAAAGGGAAAUCAAUCAAGGUCCCAGUGGACUAAAUGAUGAUAUAAGGCUGAAGAAUGGACGCAUCCUGUAAGUAGAACAGUAAAGGUGUAUUUCUGGUUUUUCCAACUGAAAGAAAACUGCUUCUAAUGAUCUUUACUAACAUAUAUAGCAAAACAAAAAAGUCAUUUUUUUUUCAGGUGAAUAGCUGUAUACCAAAUACCUGAGGAUGUGUUAAUUUGCCCAAGCGAUGAAACCACCUCUGGAACAGCAGCUAUAAUUAGAAUCACCACCUGAUUAAGUUGACAAUAAUCCACUGUCAUUCUCCAAGAUCCAUCUGUUUUGUGCACAGGCCAAAUAGAUGAAUUGAAUGUGGAUGUGGUGGGAAGUCACUAUGCUCACAUGUUUUACGUCCUCCGGGAUUGCAGCAUUACUUUUAGUUUACUAUUUUCCUAGGUAGAGGCAGUUAUAGUGGCUUCCAAUUAUUUUUCUUUCCAUAAUAUCCCUUAUUUCACAAGUCGGGAAACCAAUGUAGAGAUUUUGUCACAUUCUGAAUGUGUCUAUUCCAAUAAUGCUUCUGGAACUGGAGAAAUAAUCACAGGACUUGUUCAGGGACAUGCUGAACCCACUGAGACAAAUAUGAACUAAUGAUCAAUUAAUCACCAAACCUUCAUAAGCCUCUAUUAUGCCUCCACAGUGACAUUUUGGGUGACCAGAAAUUAGUGUCAUUUUAGUCAGUGUUCAGUAAUCUUCCAAAAGUCUAAUUAUUUCUAUUUUCCAAAGCAAAAGCACACUGGUAAAUAACUAGAUCUCUUUAGGAAAGACCAGAAGAAAGAUUAACAGUAUAAACACAUUUUUUUUGGCAGUGCAAUGGAGUUCUUCCUCAAAGGGACUUAGCCUCCCUUUCAUUUAAGGGGUUCUGGGGUGGUAAAUUGUCUCAGCCUGGAAAUUAAUUGAGGUGUUAUGUCUCUCUGUUUUGGUGAUUUGAAUUAGACUUCUGCUCACUAGACCUGGAACUUUUCCACCUAUACACAUCAUUCAUUAGACUGCCCAUCUAUUUCUUUUCUAGUGACAUCAUUAUCAACUAGCUAAUGCCGUAGGUCUUUGGGAGUUACAGUAUUCUGGUAACUGCUUUGACUCUGCAGUUUAUUGUGGUGACUAUCUGGUUUUUGAUGAUCCCUGUCAAAUAGCAGCAGUUUCCACUGUAAUAUCUGACUUGCAGAAAAGAGUAAAGAGAGAGCUCUCAAGGAUGCUAGGAUUCCCCCUAUAAAUUUAUUUCUCAUAAUUGUGGUAAAAGGUAUGUCUUCUGGACUCUCCAAUUGGAUGAGCAGUUCUUACAUGAUAAAUCUAUUCAAACAUUUCAACCUCCCUAAGACUUUAGAUGCCUUCCUCCAUAGUAUACCAAGGCAAUCCUGACAUUUCAACUUCAUUUAUUGUAGGCCACCUUCAGUUUCAUGUUUCAACCUAUGGACAAAACAAACUGUUAGAGCCCUUCCUAGACCACUGACCUUAGUGAGCCAUAGUAAUACAUCAGACUAAUCCAACUUUAUAUUCCUUCCACCAUAAUGCCACACUCUUAAGACCCAUUCCCACACCUAUUUCCCCAGAUUUAUGUGUGUAUAAAUUGGAAAAAUCAUUCUGUUCUUCUUGCAGGUCAUUCAUUGUACCUUACCGUUUGGGCUCUGCUGAGACUUAAGUCUAAUUGUAGGUCUAGAUGCAGAGAGGGGUGGGUGGAGAUAGGUCCUAAGAAGAAUCAGCAGUACCUUGCAAGGCAAUUAUAGAUUCUUCAGGAAGAACAGAUAACCUCCUUAGACAGGGGUGGAUGGCUGCUUCUCCCAGCAAGAAAACUGUCCAAAUUCAAGGGUUCAGUGUCCCCAGCUUCAUUGGGAUCUGUCAAUAUGCCCUCAUUCCAAUUUUCAGGAUCCCAUUCCUUCCCAAUCAUUUUAACAGAAAACACCUCGUGGGGUUGGAAAUUCAAUUUGUGUUGUAAUUAAGCCACUCACAGGGAGAUUCAGGUUUAAUUUUUAGAAAUCUCAGACCUGUAGGUAGAAAAGAUAACGGUGACUUUUAGGGCAUAAAAAACAGACUAUUACAUUAUUUAGGUGGAACUUGAGCUGGAAUUUGAAGUCCUGCACUUCUUUUAUUUCUGGAACAGUGAGGAGUAACUGACCAGCUCCACGAUACUCUUAGGUUUGAUAAAAAUAUUCUAAGGUAGCAAAUACAUGGUGACCCACAACUUCAACUUCUACAGGUAUUUGAUCACAAGUGUCCAAUGGUUAUAUUUUCCAUAUCUCUUUUGUCAUAUUAUACCAUGGAUUUCUAAUGCUCUAUCACCGGAAAUAGUCAUUAGUGCCUUUAAAUAUAAUCACAUGAGGCAACUAAAUUCUCAAACCCCAGAAACAAUUCAGAAAACUCAUCCAUAUGAUUAUGUUCCUUUAGAACAAUGUCAAGAAGCAACAUCUGUAUCCAUCAUCAUUUAUCCAGGGAAACAGACCAGUAGGAGAGAUAUUGUAAGAUUUUUUUUCAAGAAAUUGGUUUAUAUGAUUGUGGGGACUGAUAAGGCUAGUCUAAAAUCCAUACGGCAGGCUGGAACUCUUGGUUAUGGGCUGCAGAUUCUGGCCACAAGUUGAAUUUCUCCUGCCUCAGAGAAGCUUCAGCUUUGCUUUUAAGGCUUUCCAACUGGUGAAAUGAGGCUCUGCUAAAUUAUCUAGGAUAAUGUCUCUUAAAGUCAACUGAGUAUUGACUUUAUUUAACUCUAUAAAUUACCGUCACAGUAACACCUAAAUUAGUAUUUAUUGAAUAACUUGUGACUGUAACUUACCCAUGUCAACAAUAAGUCCAUCACAAUGUCACAUAAAAAACUCCUACUUUAUUAGAAAAUGGGAUAUAAGUGGCCCAUGAGUUUGCAGCUUCUCCUCUGUUAUAUAAAUUUUCCUUUUUUAGUACUUAAAAAAAUCCUCCAAAUCUCCAUAUAUCAGUGUGUUUAAUUUAAGAGACUGCAACAUGAUCAAGUUAAAUAUCAAUAGUAAAAUUACUAUACCAACAUUUCAAUGAUAACAGUUAGACAUGAAAUUGUUAAAUAUAAUUUGAAAGGAUUUUAUAUGUUAUUUGGCCAUUUAAAUUUAUUAUUAUAUUUUACAAAGUCAUUGAAAAAUAUUAUAAUUGAAUAUAAUGUGAAGUAAAGAAGGGUGCAAAAUAGAUAGAAUAUGCUCAUAUUUGUGUGUAAGAUAGAUGCCUGAAGAAGGAACAUUUAGGACAUUAUAUCAAUAUCUUCUGUGUGUGAAGAGAGAGUUGCAAAUCACCUUAGGACUAAAUUUUGAAAUUUUUAUUUAAUCACUUAAGUGAUUUUCUUUGUUCAAGCCACUAUGAAACUCAUUACUCCAGACCAGGUUGAAACAGCAGCUUCUGUGGCCUGAAAAGAUGGCAAUACCACUUGGUGUAAGGAGCCGUCCCUGUGCGAAGAAGUUAGCGAUUUACACAGGGACUAGGAUUUAUCUUGGGAGGAAAAGAACACCAAACUUGAUCUUUCCUCUUAUACAAAUAUUUCUGUUGAAUUGAAGUGGGCUGGAUCAGGUUCUUUGGUAAGAAAUGAUAUCAAUGACUCCAAAGAGGCACUCACCUUCAGAGAAGAGGUCACUGGUGCGGGUGACUGGAGCUGAACACAAGAACAGAAGUGACCCUGGCAGUGGCUGGUCCCGCAACAGCCUGUAACAGGGAACAUAAUCAACCACAAAUUUUGUGGGUAGUUUAGGUGUUGAAAAACAAUAGUGAUCAUUAAUAUUGUAUAUACAUUACCUUUUACUAGAUGUCCUACGUAGUUUACACACGAAAAAGAGGAACUAAAGGCUGUGAAAUUCCAACUCAGAAUAUAAAUCAAAAACGAGAAAGCCUUGGUGGUAACUUUGAACCAAUCCCUUAUCUCCUAAAGUGGCAGAGCAGAUAAACUGAGGACCAAUAUCAAGACUGGACUGUCAAAAUUGCAGUUGCAGUGCAAACGAGAUACUCAAUUCAGUUAUGUCUCAAAGUAAGAAGAAACCACUGCUGGGGAAAUAAUAUAAUCCCAAGAAAUAGGAUGUAAAUAUUGUGGCAAAUGCAACAAGGUUGAACACUUUGAAUCUCCACAUCUUUCUAAAUUUCCCUUGUCUUCCAUUUCACAACUCUACAUCCAUACUCAGCACAGGAAAAAUAUCUAAUCUGUUCUUGUCAAGUUGAAUUAUUGGUUAGGGAUUUCUGUGUUAAUCUCAGAUGGAAAAUGUUUAAUUACAAGGUCUUUCCUGUAUCUAAGAGUUAUUACAUGACAGAACAAGUGGACCAACCUCUCUACCUCCAACAGCCUCUUUAUCGCUGAGAUUUUCUGUGUGCCCAUGGCAAGCAGAAUUCCAAGACAAUCCUUGAGAUUUCUACCCCAUUGUGUAUAAUGCACUGCUUUUGAGUACGGGUGAAGCCUGUAAAUAUGAUGCAUUAUCAACCUCAUCAUUAUGUUCUAUUAUAUGCAAUAGAGACUUUAGCAGAUAUAAUUAAAGUUCCACAUUCAGUUAAGUUAAUCAGAUCGGAAAUUAUCUAAUCAGAGUCUGUCCUACUCAGGUGAGGUAUCAAAUGGGGGUCUAGAGUUUUAAAAUGCAAAGAAUCAGAGAGACAUUCUCCCUAUGGCCUCAAACAAGAAAGCAAAUAGCCAUAUUUUGAAUUUCCGUGAAGGUGAAUCAUCAUUAGGGUCUGAGUGUCUCAGUCCUAAAACUACAAUGAACUAAAUUCUGUCAACAACUUAAAUAAGUUUGAAAAAAGACUUCACAUUCCAAAUGAGACUCCAGUCUGACUGACACCUUGAUUUCAGUCUUGUAAGACUUUGACCAGAGAACCCAGCUGAAACGUGGCUGGACUUCUGAACUACUGAACUCUGAGCUAAUAAAUGGAUGUAGCUUGUUUUGAACCAUGAAGUCUGGUGGCUUAUUAUGUAGCAGUGUAAAACUAACUCAGUGCCUCUGACAAUCUGCCCUUACUUUGUAGAAUAUGAUACAGGGCCACCAUUUGCUAAUCUGUUGUGAGUUGAUAUAGUUACUUUUCUUCAUUUUAACUGAAUAGGGCUCAUCUCCCUUCCUCUCUCUCUCUCUGUCUCUCUCUCUCUCUCCACCCCCCCACACACCCCACACAAUUUUACUUAUAAAUAUUAGAAUUUUGUUAUAUAUCAAAUAUAGUCUCCUUCACUUUAUAUAAGAAAAAAUGGGUAUCAGAAUAAUUACUGAGUUUAUUCCAAAUUACACAACUAGCCAGGGACCAAGGUAAAAUUUAAGUCAGUCUUAGUUACAAGGUUGGUUCUCUUUUAACUGACAGAAAUAAAAAUAUUCCAAAAAUAUUUCUAAACUUUAUCAAAAACUAAGGAAUUAAUGGAAUGUGUUUGUCAUAGAUAGUGUGCUGCCCAGAUCCCUUGUAGAAAUAAAGGGCUUGUUUUUUAAACUUCUAUAAGUACUUCCCUAAGGCAGGUCUCCGCUAUUAGCCUUCUACAGAAAAUGUCUUUGUUGGAGACACACCCCUUGCCCAAUAUUUUGCCCCCUUCCUUGGGCAGCCCAUACCCAAUGACUCAUCAAGGAAAGAUAUGAAGUCUGCCUUUCUCCCACAACUUGAGACAAUUCUAAAGGGUCAUGUCAAUUUUAGAACUUCCCUAAGAUCAACUGUAUCCUUCAUCAAGACUAUAAUUCUCCCUUUGUCCAAUUUUGCUUCCUCUUUUUCCAUGUGUUUAUGCCCAUAAUACUCCCUGAUAAACAUCCUGUAUGCUAAUCUCCAUUUCAGAGUCAGCUUCCUAGGGAAGCCAACCUGUGACAGGGAAGAGAUAACCACCUCUCUGUAAAACCGAUAAUGUGAGAUUAAAUGAAAUAAUACAUUUAAAUCAAAUUCACUUACAAAAAAUAUAAUGUAUAAAAGUAGGUGUUAUCUUAAUUUAUGUAUAAUAUUAUAUUCUUAUAAAUUAUAAUUCAAAGAAAUAAAUAUGAAAUUAACAUUUGUAUAAGGCAUAAAUUAUGGGAUGGAGUCAUUUCAUUGCUUGUGCUAGUGACUUUCAGAUAAAGCUCCAUCACCUUAUCAUGGCAAAGUUAUCUUAGGAGAGAAGACCUAAAUAUAAAAUCAGAGAUGAAAAUAGAGAUAUUACAACUGUUACCACAAAUAUUCAAAGGAUCAUUAGAGACUGUUAUGAGAAAUUGUAUGUCAAUAAAUUGGAAAACCUAGAGUAAAUUAAUAAGUUCCUAGUCCCAUACACCCUACCAAGAUUGAAGUUCAAAACCUGAAUAGACUAAUAACAAGUAAAUAGAAGUAGGAAUAAAAUGUCUUCCAUCAAAGAAAAACCCAGGACCUGAUGGCUUCACUGCUGAAUUCUACCAAACUUUUAAAUAUCUAAUACCAUUUCUAUUACAGCCAUUCCAAAAAAAUCAAUGAAAAGGGAAUUCUUCCAAACUAAUUCUAUGAGACCAGUAUUAUCCUGAUACUGAAACCAGCCAGAUACACAAGAAAAAUGAAAACUAUAGGUCAAUAUCUCAGAUGAACAUAAUUGUUAAAAUCCCCAACAAAAUAUUAGGAAGCUGAAGCCAGCAACACAUUAAAAAGGUCAUUCAUUAUGAUAAAAUGGGAUUUAUCAAAAUGACACAAGGAUGGAUCAACAUAUAGAAAUCAAAAACGUGAUACAUCACAUCAACAGAAUGAAAGACCAAAACCAUAUGAUCAUUUUAAUCAAUGUCAAUUAAGCAUUUGAUAAAAUUUCACAUCACUUUAUAAUAAAAACUCUAAAAAAAUGGGUAUAAAAGGAACAUACCUCAACAUGAUAAAAAAAAAACACAUUCACCAAACCCACAGCUAGUAUCAUACUGAACAGGGAAAAACUGAAAACCUUUUCUCUAAGAUCUUGACCAUGACAAUAAUGUCCAUUUUCACCACUGUUAUUCAGCAUACAGCUGGAAGUUUUAGGAGGAGCAGUUGAACAAGAGAAAGAAGUAAAGAUCAUUGGAUAGGAAAAGGACAAAUUAUCCUUAUUUUCAGAUGAUAUGAUCUUAUAUUUAGAAAAACCUAAAGAAUCCAACGAAAGGUGACUAGAACUGAUAAAUUCACUAAAGUUGCAGAAUAUAAAAUCAAUGUUAAAGAAAACUAGCAUUUCUAUAUGCCAGCAGUGAAACCAAGAAAUUAAUCUUAUUUACAAUAGUUACAAAUAAAAUAAAAUGCCUAGAAAUAAACUUGACUAAAGAAGUGAAAGAUCACUACAAAGAAAGCUAUAAAACAUUAAUUAAAGAAAUUGCCUAGGUUUUCUUCUAGGGUUUUUAUGGUUUUAGGUCUUACGUUUAAGUCUUUAAUCCAUCUUGAGUUAAUUUUUGUAUACGGGGUAAGGAAGGGGUCCAGUUUCAGUUUUCUGCAUAUGGCUAGCCAGUUUUCCCAACACUAUUUAUUAAACAGGGAAUCCUUUCCCCAUUGCUUGUUUUCGUCAGGUUUAUCAAAGCUCAGAUGGUUGUAGACGUGUGGCAUUUUUCUGAGGCUUUUGUUCUGUUCCAUUGGUCUAUAUAUCUGUUUUGGUAUCAGUAACCAGUUUUGGUUACUGUAGCCUUGUAGUAAAGUUUGAAGUCAGGUAGUAUGAUGCCUCCAGCUUUGUUCUUUUUGCAUAGGAUUGUCUUGGCUAUAUGGGCUCUUUUUUGGUUCCAUAUGAAAUUUAAAGUAGUUUUUUCUAAUUCUGUGAUGAAAGUCAAUGGUAGCUUGAUGGGGAUAGCACUGAAUCUAUAAAUUACUUUGUGCAGUAUGGCCAUUUUCACGAUAUUGAUUUUCCCCAUCUAUAAGCAUGGAAUAUUUUUCCAUUUGUUUGUGUCCUCUCUUAUGUCCUUGAGCAGUGAUUUGUAGUUUUCCUUGAAGAAGUCCUUCACAUCCCUUGCAAGUUGUAUUCCUAGGAAUUUUAUUCUCUUUGUAGGAAUUGUGAAUGGGAGUUCGCUCAUCAUUUGGCUCUCUGUUUGCCUAUUGUUGGUGUAUAGGAAUGCUUGUGAUUUUUGCACAUUGAUUUUGUAUCCUGAGACUUUGCUGAAGUUGGUUAUCAGCUUAAGGAGAUUUUGGGCUGAGAUGAUGGGGUUUUCUAAACACACAAUCAUGUCAUCUGCAAACAGAGACAAUUUGACUUCCUCUCUUCCUAUUUGAAUACCCUUUAUUUAUUUAUCUUGCCUGAUUGCCCUGGCCAGAACUUAGGCAAUAUCAUUCAGGACAUAGGCAUGGGCAAAGACUUCACGACUAAAACACCAAAAGCGAUGGCAAUAAAAGCCAAAAUUGACAAAUGGGAUCUAAUUAAACUAAAGGGAUUCUGCACAGCAAAAGAAACUAUCAUCAGAGUGAACAGCCAACCUACACAAUGGGAGAAUUUUUGCAAUCUAUACGUAUGACAAAGGGCUAAUCACCAGAAUGUACAAGGAACUUAAACAAAUUUACAAGAAAAAAACAAACAACCUCAUCAAAAAGUGGAUGAAGGAUAUGAACAGACACUUCUCAAAAGAAGAAAUUUAUGCAGCCAACAAACAUGUGAAAAAAAGCUCAUCAUCACUGGUCAUUAGAGAAAUGCAAAUCAAACCCACAAGGAGAUACUAUCUCAUGCCAGGUAGAAUGGCAAUCAUUAAAAAGUAAGGAAACAACAGACGCUGGAAAGGAUGUGGAGAAAUAGGAAUGCUUUUACACCAUUGGUGGAAGUGUAAAUUAGUUCAACCAUUGUGGAAGACAGUGUGGUGAUUCCUCAAGGAUCUAGAGCCAGAAAUACCAUUUGGCCCAGCAAUCCCAUUACUGGGUAUAUACCCAAAGGAUUAUAAAUCAUUCUACUAUAAAGACACAUGCACGUGUAUGUUUAUUGCAGCACUAGUCACAAUAGCAAAGACUUGGAACCAACCCACAUGCCCAUCAAUGUUAAACUGGAUAAAGAAAAUGUGGCACAUAUACACCAUAUAAUACAACGGAGCCAUAAAAAAAGGAUGAGUUCAUGUCCUUUGCAAGGACAUGGAUGAUCUGGAAACCAUCAUUCUCAGCAAACUAACACAGGAACAGAAAACCAAACACUGCAUAUUCUCACUCAUAAGUGAGAGUUAAACAAUGAGAACACAUGAACCCAGGGAAAGGAACAUCAUUAACCAGAGCCUGUCACAGGGUAGGGGGCUAGGGGAGGGAUAGCAUUAGGAGAAAUGCCUAAUGUAGAUGACGGGUUGAUGGGUGCAGCCAACCACCAUGGCACAUGUAUACUUAUGUAACAAACCUGCAUGUUCUGCACAUGUAUCCCAAAACUUAAAGUAUAAUAAUAAUAAUAAAAGAAAUUGAAGAGGACACAAAAACUUGAAAGAUAUUCCAUAUUCAUGAUUUGAAGAAUCAGCAUUACUAAAAUAUCCAUAAUACUCAAAGCAAUCUAUAGAUUCAAAUGAAAUUCCUAUCAAAAUACCAAUUAUAUUUUUCACAGAUAUAAAAAAUAAUUCUAAAAUUUGUAUAGAAACACAAAAUACUCAGAAUAGCCAAAGCUAUCCCAAGCAAAAUGAACAAAGCUGGAGGUAUCACAUUGCCUGACUUCAAAUUAUAUUACAAAGCUAUAGUAACCAAAACAGCUUGGCACUGGCAUAAAAAACAGACACAUAGACCAAUGGAACAGAAUAGAGAACCCAGAAAUAUAUUCACACAUUUACAAACAAUUAAAUUUACUAAUAACAUAUAUUUGGAAAUGUCAGUCUCUUCAAUCCAGGAAAAUAGGGUAUUCAUACACAGAAGAAUAAAACUAGACCCCAUCUCUCCCCAUAUACAAAAAUCAAAUCAAAAUGGUUUAAAGAUUUAAAUCUUAAAUCUAAGACCUGAAACUAUAAAACUACGAGAAGAAAACAUUGAGGAAACACUCCAAGAAACUGGUCUGGGCAAAUAUUUCUUUAGUUAAGACCUCAAAAGCACAGACAACCAAGCAAAGAUGAACAAAUGUGGUCACAACAAGUUAAAAAGCAUCUGCAUAGCCAAUAAAGCAAUCAACAAAGUGAAGAGACAACCCACAGAAUGGGAGAAAAUAUUUGCAAACUAUCCAUCUGACAAGAGAUUAAUAACCUGAAUGUAUAAGGAGCUCAAACAACUCAAUUGGAAAAAUAAAUAAAUAAUCCAAUUUAAAAAUGAGAAAAAAAACUGUAUAGUCAUUUCUAAGAGAAGACAUGCAGAUGGACAACAGGUAUAUGAAAAAACACUCAACAUCAUUAAUCAUCAGGAAAUGAAAAUGAAAGCUACAAUAAGAUAUCAUCUCAUCCCAGUUAAAAUGGCUUUGUAUUAAAAAGACAGGCAAUAAUGGAUACUGGCAAGGAUAUGGGAAAAAGGGGAGUCCUCAUAUACUGUUGGUGAAAAUGUAAAUUAGUGUAGCCACUAUGAGGAACAAUGGCAGUUCCUCAAAAAAAUGAAAAAUAGUACUAUUAUAUGAUCCAGUAAUACCACUGCUUGGUAUACAUCUAAUAGAAAGAACAUCACCAUGUGAAAAGACAUCUGCUUUCCCAUGUUUAUUGCAGCAUUAUUCACAGUAGCUAAGGUAUGGAAACAACUUAGGUAUCCAUGAAUGGAUGAACAGAUAAAGAAAAUGUGGUAUAUACACAAGGGAAUAUUAUUCAGUCAUAAAAGAAUGAAAUUCUGUCAUUUGCAGCAACAUGGAUGAAACUGGAAGACAUUAUAUUAAGUGAAAUGAGCCAGACUCAGAAAGACAAGUAUCACAUGUUCUCAUUCAUCUGUGGGAGGUAAAAAAGAGAAAAAUUGAUCUCAUGGAGGUAGAGAGUAGAAUGGUGGUUACCAGAGGUUGAGAAGUGUAGUGGGGUGGGGGAGAUUAAGAGGGAUGGUUAGUGGGUACAAAACUAUACUUAGAUAGAAUAAAUAAUAUCUAGUGUUUAGUGGCACAAUAAGGAGGCUAUAGUUAACAAUAAUUUAUUGUGUAUUUCAAAAUAACUUAAGUGGAAUUGUAAUGUUCCUAAUACACAGAAAUGGUAAAUGUUUGAGGUAAUAGAAAUCCCAAUUACCCUGAUUUGAUCAUUACACACAUUGUAUGCUUUUAUCAAAACAUCACAUGUACACUAUAAAUAUGUACAACUAUUAUGUAUCCAUAAUACUUACAAAUUUAAAAAUAUUUAAAAAUUCACAAAACUGAAAUAAACAUACUUAUUGGGAAAACAUCUUCAAUAACUCAUUCAAAAAUUCAUAUUGAGAGGCUAUUACAUGGCAAGAAUUAUGCUAAUCUACUAUUCUCAUAAAAAAUAUAAUGUUCCAGUAUGAGAAACAGAUAGGGCAACCAUAAUCCUGCUAUAAGCCUGGCUUACAUGUGUGGUCUCAGUAUCCCAUAUGGCGUAGGAUUUUUUUCUUGAGUUUUCAUAUUUUAAAGAAAUAUUUUUACUAAUGUUUCUUUUGACUGGAAUGGUUUUGAUAGAAUUUCACUUUUUACUUUCAGCACCAUCUUAAUUAGUAAUGUGUGAGAUGCAUGCAAUGAACAGAGUUUUCAGAUUAACAUGUGGUUGAAUCUCAGAAAUAAUCAGCAGUAAAUUGCUUCCCUUUCUCCCAUCCUUUUCUGAUGCAUUGAAAAGAAUAGUGUUCAUCAUACUCUCUAAUAAACCAACUUAAUAUGGCAUACCCACACAGUGGAAUAUUAUUUAACAAUAUAAACAAAGUACUGUUACAUGGUGUGAAAUGUAUGAACCUUGAAAAUAUUAUGCAAAAUAAAAUAAGCCAGUCACAAAAGGUGACAUAUUAUGUAAUUAGAUUUAUAUGAAAUGUCCAUAAUAGGAAACUAUAAGUAGAAAUAGAUCAGGGAUUUCCUAGAGCUGGGAUGGGGGAAGGGAUGGAGAAUGACUUGUAAUGAAUAUGGGUUUUUUGGGAUGAUAACAACAUUAUAAAAUUACAAUAGUGAUGUGAUGGUUGCAUAACUCUGAGUAUGCUACAAACCAUUGAAUUAUACAUUUUAAAUGGGAUACUUUUAUGAUAUGCAAAUUAUAUCUCAAUAAUGCUGUUAUAAAAACUAAUUCUUUAAUAUGAGUGACCUGGAGAUAACCAACUUCUUGUGGAUCCUGGUGGUGGUGGGAGAAAUAUUGGAAGCUAUUGCUUCUAGGUCAUUUGGUGAACCAACUAAUUUGUACCAUGGUUGUGUAUGAGAUGUGUGAGAAAUAGAGACUGAAUAGUCUUACCAUGGAAUAUAUAGAAAGUAGUUCAUUAUUUACUAUAUUUAAUUCAACCACUAUCCUUUCCAAAACGAUGUCUUUUUCCUUGAAAAAUGCAUAUUUAAUGAAAAUUUAAAGAUACUUCGAUUUCUCAAGAAAGUUGAUGAAUGUGUAAAUUACACAAAGUAUUUGUUGACAUUUACUAUAACAAUUGAGUCUGUAGUGAUAUCAUUGAACCUGUGGAAACAAGGUGAUGUAUAUCAUCCCCCAAAUCACUAGCACCUACAGUUAUUUAGAAAGAUUAUGCACAAGAUGAUAAUUUAACAUGUGCAACUUCAGAUGGUGUAUUUACAUAUUUCUUUCUUUUCUUUUUUUUUUUUGAGAUGAAGUCUCGCUCUGUCACCCAGGCUGUAGUGUAGUGGGGUGACCUUGGCUUACUGCAACCUCCACCUCCUAGGUUCCAGCGAUUCUCCCACCUCAGCCUCCUGAGUACCUGAGAUUAUAGGCACCUGCCACCAUGCCCAGCUAAUUUUUGUAUUUUUAGUAGAGACUGUGUUUCACCAUAUUGGCCAGGCUGGUCUUGAACUCCUGACCUCAAGCGAUCUGCCCACCUUGGCCUCCCAAAGUGCUGGGAUUACAGGCAUGAGCCACAGUGCCUGGCCUACGUAUUUCUUUUUAAAGACUGACUUUUCAUUUAGAUUAAAUGAUUGCUCUUCUAAAGUAAUUUACUCUUUGUUGGUUUUAAGAAAUCUUUUGCAUGUAUAAGGUAUAAAACAACAACUGUUUAUAUGUUACUUCCAUUAGCCGAUGAACUAGCGGUUAAAUGAUGCUUCAAAUAGAAAAUAAGUUAAUUCCACUAAUAGAUUGUGUUUUCAUUAAAGUCAUAAACAUGAAAUAACACUUUACAAAGUUCAUUUUGUUGAGUAUCUUGCAUUACUGUGAAUUAUAUUGUAAAGUAGUUUAAAGUUUAACAUUAAAGAUAAAAUUAUUAUUUUUGCUGUUAUGGUAUGAAUAAAAAAAUUUGAUUAACUUUUUUAUCAUGUUUCAGUAAACAAAGCAUGCAGAAUGGAAACAAUAAUCUUACUAAGUUAAAAAACUUUUUUGAACUUUUCUGAAUAGAAAUGUUCUUGGAAUUCGUCGUGCACAUGAUUGUUCAUAAUUACUAAUUACAAAUAUUACUAAUUAUUAUUUCUAUUAUAUAUAAUAUGUAUAAUAUUAUUAAUUAUUCAUAAUUACUAAUUGAAAUAGAGACGCUAGUUGUUGGGGUAACAAAAGUAGUGCAUUUUUGAGAUGAAGCUGGCUUUCAGUACAAACAUAUUCUAAAUUAUGCUGGUGGCUAUGCAGUUUUUCUCUGUGCUGGUCAUCAACAAUUAGAUUUAGAUGUGUUUGAGCACUUGAAGAAGUACUAUGAAACUGAACUUAAAUAAAAGUAUUUAGCAAUUGUGAUGCCAAAAAGCUUUAGCUUGUGAAGCUUUAUCAAUUUCCAAUUCUUAAAAGCAAAGGUUGUAAAGAGGAGGACAUUGAAACUGAUCCUUGUAGAAAUGGAGCCAAUUAAAUAAUAAAGGCACAAACUAUGUAAAACAUUUAAUUUUUAAAUUAUAUUAUUGGACUCCAGAAUAUUUAAACUUGUGAGAUGUAGUCUGAUAAAUCUCCUAUUUUUAAUUGGAUAAACUUGCAAUAUAUACCAAAAAGGAUAAAAUUUACAAAAAAAAAAUUUGCAUGAUCUCCAUAGUCAUAAAUUGAGACAUCUGCAAUGACUUUUGUCUGAUAAAAAAAUCUACCAAAGACAAGUACUCUGAAUGGAAGCAAAAACAAGAGCUCUUUUAAGAUAUUUGAACUAAAUUGGACCCUUAUCUUGCACUAUGGAUAAAAAUCAUCUAAAAAUGGACAAAAUACCUAAGUGUAAGACCUGAAGCCAUAGAACUCAUGGAACAUAGGGGAAAAACUCCACAACAUUGGUCUUGGCAAUAAUUUUUUUGGGAUGCCAUACCAAAAGCUCAGGCUACAAAAGAAAAAAUAAAUCACAUCACACACUGGGCCCUGUCAUGGGGUUGGGGGAGGGGUAGGGAUAGCAUUAGGAGAUAUACCUAAUGUAAAUGACGAGUUAAUGGGUGCAGCACACCAACAUGGCACAUGUAUACAUAUGUAACAAACCUGCACAUUGUGCACAUGUACCCUAGAACUUAAAGUAUAAUAAAAAAAAGAAAAAAUAAACCAAUGGGAAUACAUCACACUAAAAACCUUCUACACAGCAAAGAAAACAAUUUAAAAAUGAAAAUGCAGGCUACAGACUGGAAGAAAAUUUUUGCAAAUCAUACAUCUGAUAAUGGCUAAUAUCCAAAAUUUAUUUUAAAAACCCACAUAAUUCAAUAGCAGAAAAACAACCCAAUUAAAACAUGGACAAAUGAUAUGAGCAGACCUUCAAAGAAAACAUAAAAAUGGACACUAGGUAUAUGAAAAGGAGCUCAACAUCACUAAUCAUAAUGGAAAUGCAAAUUAAAACCACUAUGAGAUAUCACCUUACACCAGUAAGGAAGGCUAUUAUCAAAUGGAUAAGAUGAAAAUGUUGGCAAAGGUGUGAAGAAAAGGUAACCGCAGUGCACUGUUGAUGGGAAUAUAGACUGAUCUAGCCAUUAUGGGAAGAAAUAUGUAGGGUCUUAGAGAUACUAAAAAUAUAACUGCCAUAUGACUCAGAAAUCCUUCUUCUGAAUAUAUACCAAUAUACCAAAAGGAGAUUAUCACCACCUUGUAAAGAUUGGCAUUCCCAUGUUCAUUGCAGCAUUAUUUGCAGCAGUCAAGAUAUGGAAAGAACCUAAAUGCCCAUUGAUGGAGGUAUAAAGAAAAUGUGGUAUAUAUACACAAUGAAAUAUUACACAGCCUUAAAAAGGAGAUCCUACCAUUUGUCAAAACAUGCAUGAACCAGGAGGACCCUAUGCUAAGUGAAAUAAGCAACACAGAGAAAAAAAUAUUGCAUGAUUUCAAUUAUAUAUUAAAUAUAAAAUAAUAAAAGAGCUCAAAUACACAGAGAUAAAGAAGGAAACAGUGGUUACCAUUGGUGGGAGAGGGAGAGAGGAAAUGAGGAAGAUGUAGGUCAAAAGAUGUACAAUAGCAGAUAGGUAGGAUGAACAAAUCUAAAGAUCUAAUGUACAACAUGAAGACUAAAUAAAAUUGAAUUGUGUUAAGGAUAUUUGUUAAGUAGAUUUUAUCUGCUGUUGUCACAUCAAAAAACAAGUUAUGUGAGAUGAUAGAUAUACUAAUCUGCUUCACUCUAGAACCAUUAUAUUUCCUACGAUGUAUCUAUAUGUACUCCAUAACAUUAUGUUGUAAACCUCAAAUAUAUACAAUAAAAUACAUUUAAAAAAAAAAAUAGGCCAGGCGCGGUGGCUCAUGCCUGUAAUCCCAGCACUUUGGGAGGCCGAGGCGGGCGGAUCACGAGGCCAGGAGAUCGAGACCACGGUUAAACCCUGUCUCAACUCAAAAAAAAAAAAAUACAAAAAAUUAGCCGGGCGCAUUGGCGGCGCCUGUAGUCCCAGCUACUCGGGAGGCUGAGACAGGAGAAUGGCGUGAACCCAGGAGGCGACACUUUCAGUGAGCUGAGAUCGCACCACUGCACUCCAGCCUGGGUGACAGAGCGAGACACUGCCUCAAAAAAAAAAAAAAAAAAAAAAAAAAAAAAAACAACAACAACAGUGGGACUAAAAUAUGUAUACAUUUUAAUAUUAAAAGAAAAAGCUGUGAUACAUAAUGAUUAUACAUAUGUAUGGGGAACAUUGUUCGUUUCAAUACAUGGAGAGAUUGUGUAAUCAUCAAAUCAGAGUCAUUAGAAUUUCAUCACCUCAAAUAUUUAUCAGUUUUUUGUGGUGAGGACAUGCAAAUUAUUUUCCUCUAGCUUUUUUUGAAAUAUACAAUAUAUUUCCAUUAUCUGAGAAUAUGCUGUAUUUAGCAAAAAAUAAUUUGCGAUUACUAGGUACUUCAGUGCAUGUAGAGAGGGUAUUUUCUCAGUUAAAAGUAAUGUAUUCUAUGGAGACCAGUCAAUUGAAGGUUUCAACAAUUUCAAAUUUAUUAGCAUAAAGCACAGCUUUGAAAACAAAUGCAGGCAAUUUUAUGAAAAAAUGGAAAACAAUAAAACUGUAUUUCAAAAAUACAUUGUCCACAAAUAGAAUAAUAAUGACCAAUAUUACUUGUACAACUAAGAUGGUGUUUAAAUUAAAUGAAUAUAUAACAUAAAUAAUCAUACUACUUGUUAUUUAAUGUGCUGAUAAUCAAUACAAAUAUUCUUUUGCUUUUAUGAAUAGAAAUAGAUAUUGCUUUCUUAAAGAAACAUUUUAUUUCAAAAAUAUUUUAUAACACUUCCAUAGGCCCAAACCCCACUUGUUAGUAAAUACUUAUUUUAAACUUGUAUAAGAUUAUAGUUAUUUUAAUACUCUUUUUAAUCUCAAAAUAGACUUGUUUGGCCAAUAAAGUAUAUGAACCCCUUUAUUACAGAAAAAUAAGCAGACAGUCAUACUACAGCAUGAUUUUAGAGUAGGGAAAAUACAGGAUUCUUUUGCAAAAGAAUAAAAAGCUGUCUAAUCUACUCCCUGGUGGAGAGGGUGUCAUGGAAUAUUUAUUAGAGGAAGUUGAUGACAUUUAUACCUAAAAGAUAGGAUAAGUUAUCCAACUGAGGAAACAGAGAAGACUGUUUCAGGGAGGGUGAACAGCAAAAAAAACUAGCUCAGGGGUAAAGUUAGGCCCUCCCCAUGAAAUAAGCAGGGUCUUUGGAGUUGCAUAAAAUAAUUUGGAAUUAAACCAAAGAUAAGGGGGAAAUCAAUACAGUGCUUAAAUAAAGUAGUGUCCUGAGAAGGAUUUUCUGAAGGGCAUUUAGAAGAUUGAUUCUAAAACACACAUAAGUUUCUUAAUUCUUUUAUUCUGACCUGAUGGAUUUUCUAGUCCAGCCAGUUGUACCCCUGACCUUGUGCUCUCUUUUUCUGGUAUGGCUUUCCUAGGCUCAAAAAUCCCAAAGUGCUACCCUCUAAAAUUAUGGAUAAAAGGCUCUAUUAAUAUUUAUGUCUCCUUGUGGCAGGCCACAGAUAUGAAUUAAUUACUGCAUCUGCACAGAUGUGGCCUGAUUACGCAAGGCGGAACUAAGCUAAACAGCCAGCAUGAUAAACCCAAGACUGGCAAGGUAGCAGGAGAAUUUUGAGAUAUAUUCAAGUUGAAUGCUUUUAUCGGUUCUAAGUUGUUAGUUCUUGGAGGAGAGUAUUGUUCCCUAACAAAGCCUAACACAGUGUGCAGUACACAACAAGUACUCACUAAAUAUUUGUGAGAUGAAUAAAACCAAGAAUCUUGAAUAUGUUUUAGGCCUAUCACUAUAAAAAAAUUUUAAUGUCUUAUUGUAAUUGUUCUAUUUUGUUUUGACAGGUGAUGAAAAUAAUGCUUCCCUUAGUUGAAAUUCUUAGGAAAAUGGCUCCAUAAAUAUGUAUGUAGGAUGCUAUUACUCACUCAUUAUUGACAGUUGUAUCAAGUGUGAUAUAAAACACAAUUUUCAGUGACAAUGGAAUAAUUACAGUCUUGUAGUCUUGGAAUAGCCCCUGAUCACUACUGUUGCUGAUUCUGUCAUUAUAUUUUGUGUCACCUGGUUCCCAGUGGACUGUCAACACUCUUUACAUCCUGGAAUCUGAAAUCAAUUUUGUUGAGUUAACAAAGCUACAUCAUUACAUGUAUCAACUGGGGGAUCUCAGAUAAAUUCAUAUGGGUCUGAUUAUCCUUAAAUAAACCAUAUAAACAGUAGAUUGUUAUAACUGACAAGGGAUCGUGUUCUGUCUAGUCAGAGAACUUAAGUUAGGGAGGCAUGCUGUACAAAGUAUAAAAAUGUUUCAAAGGAUAGAAUUGUUAAAUUUCUGUUGUUUUAAGCCACCCAUUGUGUAGUACUCUGUUAUAGUAGCCCAAGAAAACCAAUACACUGUAUAAUGGAACAUUAUUUAGCCAUAAAAAAUGAAUUAAGGGCUGAUACAUGCUACAAUGCAGACAGACUUUAAGAAAACAUAAUGUUAAGUACAAGAAACCAGACACACAAGACUAUUUAUUAUGUGGUUCCACUUAUAUGAGACGUCUAAAACAGAAAAAUCUAUAGAGAUAAGCAAAUUAGCACAUGUCAAGGGCUGGGGUGAAAUGUAGAGUGACUACUAAUGAGUACACAAUUUUUUUUGAGAUGAUGAAAAUGUUCUAAAAUUGUCGUGAUAGUUGCAUAACUCUGUCAUUAUACCAAAAAAAUCAUUGAAUUGUAUAAUUUAAAAAGUAUGUGAAUUAUAUCUCAAUAAAAUAUUUUAAAAACAGAA
Molecule: non-coding RNA, 18523 nt
Organism: Homo sapiens (human)
Lineage: Eukaryota; Metazoa; Chordata; Mammalia; Primates; Hominidae
Source: RefSeq, a predicted model, not a curated record